CCUACGGGUGGCAGCAGUGGGGAAUAUUGCACAAUGGGGGAAACCCUGAUGCAGCGACGCCGCGUGAGUGAAGAAGUAAUUCGUUAUGUAAAGCUCUAGCAGCAGGGAAGAAAAUGACGGUACCUGAGUAAGAAGCCCCGGCUAACUACGUGCUAGCAGCCGCGGUAAUACGUAGGGGGCAAGCGUUAUCCGGAUUUACUGGGUGGAAAGGGAGCGUAGACGGCAGUGCAAGUCUGGAGUGAAAGGCGGGGGCUCAACCCCCGGACUGCUCUGGAAACUGUACGGCUGGAGUGCAGGAGAGGUAAGUGGAAUUCCUAGUGUAGAGGUGAAAUGCGUAGAUAGUAGGAGGAACACCAGUGGCGAAGGCGGCUUACUGGACUGUAACUGACGUUGAGGCUCGAAAGCGUGGGGAGCAAACAGGAUUAGAUACCCUAGUAGUC
This 440-nucleotide ribosomal RNA is filed under the name uncultured bacterium. RNAcentral's name for it is "partial 16S ribosomal RNA". It matches the Rfam family "Bacterial small subunit ribosomal RNA", at positions 338 to 795 of the family's 1533-position model. The record is from RNAcentral.